This 77-nucleotide transfer RNA is filed under the name Enterococcus termitis. RNAcentral's name for it is "tRNA-Arg". It matches the Rfam family "tRNA". Rfam says of the family: Transfer RNA (tRNA) molecules are approximately 80 nucleotides in length. Their secondary structure includes four short double-helical elements and three loops (D, anti-codon, and T loops). The record is from RNAcentral. Lineage: Bacteria; Bacillati; Bacillota; Bacilli; Lactobacillales; Enterococcaceae.
GUCCUCGUACCUCAGUAGGAUAGAGGGACCGCCUCCUAAGCGGUACGUCGCAGGUUCAAUUCCUGUCGGGGACGUCA